This 1078-nucleotide ribosomal RNA is filed under the name Mycobacterium sp. 1056G86. Its description in RNAcentral is "bacterial SSU rRNA". It matches the Rfam family "Bacterial small subunit ribosomal RNA", at positions 56 to 1151 of the family's 1533-position model. Lineage: Bacteria; Bacillati; Actinomycetota; Actinomycetes; Mycobacteriales; Mycobacteriaceae. The record is from RNAcentral.
UGCAGUCGAACGGAAAGGCCCUUCGGGGUACUCGAGUGGCGAACGGGUGAGUAACACGUGGGUGAUCUGCCCUGCACUUCGGGAUAAGCCUGGGAAACUGGGUCUAAUACCGGAUACACCUCAUGGACUGCAUGGUCUGUGGGGGAAAGCUUUUGCGGUGUGGGAUGGGCCCGCGGCCUAUCAGCUUGUUGGUGGGGUGAUGGCCUACCAAGGCGACGACGGGUAGCCGGCCUGAGAGGGUGACCGGCCACACUGGGACUGAGAUACGGCCCAGACUCCUACGGGAGGCAGCAGUGGGGAAUAUUGCACAAUGGGCGCAAGCCUGAUGCAGCGACGCCGCGUGGGGGAUGACGGCCUUCGGGUUGUAAACCCCUUUCAGCACAGACGAAGCGCAAGUGACGGUAUGUGCAGAAGAAGGACCGGCCAACUACGUGCCAGCAGCCGCGGUAAUACGUAGGGUCCGAGCGUUGUCCGGAAUUACUGGGCGUAAAGAGCUCGUAGGUGGUUUGUCACGUUGUUCGUGAAAACCCACAGCUCAACUGUGGGCGUGCGAGCGAUACGGGCAGACUAGAGUACUGCAGGGGAGACUGGAAUUCCUGGUGUAGCGGUGGAAUGCGCAGAUAUCAGGAGGAACACCGGUGGCGAAGGCGGGUCUCUGGGCAGUAACUGACGCUGAGGAGCGAAAGCGUGGGGAGCGAACAGGAUUAGAUACCCUGGUAGUCCACGCCGUAAACGGUGGGUACUAGGUGUGGGUUUCCUUCCUUGGGAUCCGUGCCGUAGCUAACGCAUUAAGUACCCCGCCUGGGGAGUACGGCCGCAAGGCUAAAACUCAAAGAAAUUGACGGGGGCCCGCACAAGCGGCGGAGCAUGUGGAUUAAUUCGAUGCAACGCGAAGAACCUUACCUGGGUUUGACAUGCACAGGACGCUGGUAGAGAUAUCAGUUCCCUUGUGGCCUGUGUGCAGGUGGUGCAUGGCUGUCGUCAGCUCGUGUCGUGAGAUGUUGGGUUAAGUCCCGCAACGAGCGCAACCCCUAUCUUAUGUUGCCAGCGCGUUAUGGCGGGGACUCGUAAGAGACUG